UACGUAGGCAGCGAGCGUUGUUCGGAGUUACUGGGAGUAAAGGGUGUGUAGGCGGUUGUUUAAGUUUGGUGUGAAAUCUCCCGGCUCAACUGGGAGGGUGCGCCGAAUACUGAAUGACUUGGAGUGCGGGAGAGGAAAGUGGAAUUCCUGGUGUAGCGGUGAAAUGCGUAGAUAUCAGGAGGAACACCGGUGGUGUAGACGGCUUUCUGGACCGUAACUGACGCUGAGACACGAAAGCGUGGGUAGCAAACAGG
This 254-nucleotide ribosomal RNA is filed under the name uncultured bacterium. RNAcentral describes it as "partial 16S ribosomal RNA". It matches the Rfam family "Bacterial small subunit ribosomal RNA", at positions 524 to 776 of the family's 1533-position model. The record is from RNAcentral.